RNAcentral lists this ribosomal RNA (590 nucleotides) under Escherichia coli. RNAcentral describes it as "partial 23S ribosomal RNA". It matches the Rfam family "Bacterial large subunit ribosomal RNA", at positions 1 to 630 of the family's 2925-position model. Lineage: Bacteria; Pseudomonadati; Pseudomonadota; Gammaproteobacteria; Enterobacterales; Enterobacteriaceae. The record is from RNAcentral.
GGUUAAGCGACUAAGCGUACACGGUGGAUGCCCUGGCAGUCAGAGGCGAUGAAGGACGUGCUAAUCUGCGAUAAGCGUCGGUAAGGUGAUAUGAACCGUUAUAACCGGCGAUUUCCGAAUGGGGAAACCCAGUGUGUUUCGACACACUAUCAUUAACUGAAUCCAUAGGUUAAUGAGGCGAACCGGGGGAACUGAAACAUCUAAGUACCCCGAGGAAAAGAAAUCAACCGAGAUUCCCCCAGUAGCGGCGAGCGAACGGGGAGCAGCCCAGAGCCUGAAUCAGUGUGUGUGUUAGUGGAAGCGUCUGGAAAGGCGCGCGAUACAGGGUGACAGCCCCGUACACAAAAAUGCACAUGCUGUGAGCUCGAUGAGUAGGGCGGGACACGUGGUAUCCUGUCUGAAUAUGGGGGGACCAUCCUCCAAGGCUAAAUACUCCUGACUGACCGAUAGUGAACCAGUACCGUGAGGGAAAGGCGAAAAGAACCCCGGCGAGGGGAGUGAAAAAGAACCUGAAACCGUGUACGUACAAGCAGUGGGAGCACGCUUAGGCGUGUGACUGCGUACCUUUUGUAUAAUGGGUCAGCGACUUA